UCGACUAUUUCUUCAAAAACUUCAUAUACUUCAUCAUUUGAGGAACUUGACAUUUUUCAAAUUUUUUUUUUAAAACCUUGGCAAUGGCUCACGUGAUUCUUCAAGACCUUUGCGAUUCUUCACCUUUUUUUUUCUAAAUUUAAUCAAGUGUUUAACAAAACUUGGCUUGUUGGCUUGUAGUAGUGUUCGGCUUGUUGGGUUGUAGUUGUGUUUAAAGAGAAAUAUUAUGAGAUAAGAUGAGAUUCAUACAUAAAGAGAAAUAUAAAAACAGAGAUACAAAGAGAAG
RNAcentral lists this long non-coding RNA (286 nucleotides) under Brassica rapa (field mustard). RNAcentral's name for it is "long non-coding RNA (BRAP_LNC004593)". Lineage: Eukaryota; Viridiplantae; Streptophyta; Magnoliopsida; Brassicales; Brassicaceae. The record is from RNAcentral.